RNAcentral lists this ribosomal RNA (532 nucleotides) under Bifidobacterium breve. RNAcentral's name for it is "bacterial SSU rRNA". It matches the Rfam family "Bacterial small subunit ribosomal RNA", at positions 157 to 699 of the family's 1533-position model. Lineage: Bacteria; Bacillati; Actinomycetota; Actinomycetes; Bifidobacteriales; Bifidobacteriaceae. The record is from RNAcentral.
CGGGUGGUAAUGCCGGAUGCUCCAUCACACCGCAUGGUGUGUUGGGAAAGCCUUUGCGGCAUGGGAUGGGGUCGCGUCCUAUCAGCUUGAUGGCGGGGUAACGGCCCACCAUGGCUUCGACGGGUAGCCGGCCUGAGAGGGCGACCGGCCACAUUGGGACUGAGAUACGGCCCAGACUCCUACGGGAGGCAGCAGUGGGGAAUAUUGCACAAUGGGCGCAAGCCUGAUGCAGCGACGCCGCGUGAGGGAUGGAGGCCUUCGGGUUGUAAACCUCUUUUGUUAGGGAGCAAGGCAUUUUGUGUUGAGUGUACCUUUCGAAUAAGCACCGGCUAACUACGUGCCAGCAGCCGCGGUAAUACGUAGGGUGCAAGCGUUAUCCGGAAUUAUUGGGCGUAAAGGGCUCGUAGGCGGUUCGUCGCGUCCGGUGUGAAAGUCCAUCGCUUAACGGUGGAUCCGCGCCGGGUACGGGCGGGCUUGAGUGCGGUAGGGGAGACUGGAAUUCCCGGUGUAACGGUGGAAUGUGUAGAUAUCG